AUGUCCAUAGCGUCAUACGUGUCCUUGUCAUGUCACACACAUGUCUAUAGUGUCUUAUGUGUGUCCUCAUCAUGUCACACGCGUGUCCUUAACAUGUCACACGCGUGUCCUUGCUGUGUUACACACAUGUCCAUUGGUAACACACGCGUGUCCUUGUCAUGCCACAUGUCUGUCCUUGUCAUGUCAUACACGUGUCCUUGCUGUGUUACACAUGUCCACUGUAUCACACGCAUGUCCAUUGGUAUCACACGUGUGUCCUUAUCAUGUCACACGCGUGUCCUUGCCGUGCCACACACAUGUCCAUUGUAUCACACACAUGUCCAUUGUAUGACACGCGUGUUGUUGCCGUGUCACACGCGUGUCCUUGCCGUGUCACACACAUGUCCAUUGUAUGACACGCGUGUUGUUGCCGUGUCACACGCGUGUCCUUGCCGUGUCACACACAUGUCCAUUGUAUCACACACAUGUCCAUUGUAUGGCACGCGUGUUGUUGCCGUGUCACAUGCGUGUCCUUGCUGUGUCACAUGUGUGUCCAUUGUCACACGCGUGUCCAUUGUCACACGUGUGUCCUUGUCAUGUCACACGCGUGUCCUUCACAUGUUAGUCAAAUGUCCAUAGUGUCAUGUGUGUGUCCUCAUCAUGUCACAUGUGUGUCCUUAUCAUGUCACACGCGUGUCCAUUGUGUCAUACGUGUCCUUGUCAUGUCACACACGUGUCCUUCUCAUGUUAGACGCAUGUCCAUAGUGUCACACGUGUGUCCUUGUCAUCUUACACACAUGCCCACUGUGUCAUACGUGUCCUUGUCAUGUCACACGUGUGUCCUUGUCAUGUCACACGCAUGUCCAUUGUAUCACACACAUGUCCAUUGUGUCACACGCGUGUCCUUGUCAUGUCACACGCGUGUCUUUCUCAUGUUAGACGCAUGUCCAUUGACAUCACACACGUGUUGUUGCCAUGUCACACGCGUGUCGUUGCCGUGUUACACAUGUCCAUUGCAUGACACAUGUGUCCUUGUCAUGUCACACACAUGUCCAUUGUAUUACACACACAUGUCCAUUGUAUGACACGCGUGUCCUUGUCAUGUCACACGCGUGUCGUUGCCGUGUCACACGCGUGUCCUUGUCAUGUCACACACAUGUCCAUUGUAUUACACGUGUCCAUUGUAUCACACACAUGUCCAUUGUAUGACACGCGUGUCCUUGUCAUGUCACACGCGUGUCGUUGCCGUAUUACACAUGUCCAUUGUAUGACACGUGUGUUGUUGCCAUGUCCCACGCGUGUUGUUGCCGUGUCACACACAUGUUGUUGCCGUGUUACACGCGUGUUGUUGCCGUGUUACACGCGUAUGCUCCCCCCGUGUUCCAUGUUGGUGUUUCCCGUGUCUCCCAUUGGCGGCUCCACGUCCCCGUCGUCAGACACAGGAUCCUCUGGGGGCACAAAGGGGGGAAAUCAAUGGGGCUGCCCCAUAGCGGAGCCCUAUAGGGAUCCCUGCCCCAUAGCGUAGCCCUACAGGGAUCCCUGACCCAUAGCAGAGCCCUAUAGGGAUCCCUGCCCCAUAGCGGAGCCCUAUAGGGAUCCCUGCCCCAUAGCGGAGCCCUAUAGGGAUCCCUGCCC
This 1614-nucleotide long non-coding RNA is filed under the name Coturnix japonica (Japanese quail). RNAcentral's name for it is "lncRNA (ENSCJPG00005006663.1)". Lineage: Eukaryota; Metazoa; Chordata; Aves; Galliformes; Phasianidae. The record is from RNAcentral.